CCUACGGGGGGCUGCAGUGGGGAAUUUUGGACAAUGGGGGCAACCCUGAUCCAGCCAUGCCGCGUGCGGGAAGAAGGCCUUCGGGUUGUAAACCGCUUUUGUCAGGGAAGAAAUCUUCCGAGCUAAUACCUUGGGAGGAUGACGGUACCUGAAGAAUAAGCACCGGCUAACUACGUGCCAGCAGCCGCGGUAAUACGUAGGGUGCAAGCGGGGCUCGGAAUUACCGGGGGUAGUUGUUGCAGACGGGUGUGAAAUCCCCGGGCUUAACCUGGGAACUGCACUUGUGACUGUACGGCUGGAGUACGGCAGAGGGGGAUGGAAUUCCGCGUGUAGCAGUGAAAUGCGUAGAUAUGCGGAGGAACACCGAUGGCGAAGGCAGUCCCCUGGGCCUGUACUGACGCUCAUGCACGAAAGCGUGGGGAGCAAACAGGAUUAGAUACCCCAGUAGUC
Molecule: ribosomal RNA, 450 nt
Filed under: uncultured bacterium
Lineage: Bacteria
Description: partial 16S ribosomal RNA
Rfam family: Bacterial small subunit ribosomal RNA
Source: RNAcentral